RNAcentral lists this small nuclear RNA (331 nucleotides) under Neogale vison (American mink). RNAcentral's name for it is "Neovison vison (American mink) 7SK RNA (ENSNVIG00000014044.1)". It matches the Rfam family "7SK RNA". From Rfam's summary of the family: 7SK was discovered as an abundant small nuclear RNA in the mid-70s but a possible function has only recently been suggested. Two independent studies have found that 7SK RNA binds the CDK9/cyclin T complex (known as elongation factor P-TEFb). P-TEFb activates transcription by phosphorylating the C-terminal domain of RNA polymerase II. The record is from Rfam by way of RNAcentral. Lineage: Eukaryota; Metazoa; Chordata; Mammalia; Carnivora; Mustelidae.
GGAUGUGAGGGAGAUCUUGAUGCAACAUCUGUCACCCCAUUGAGCACCAGGAUUGAUUCGGCUGAUCUGGCUGGCUACGUAGGUGUCCCCUUCCUCUCUCACCACUCCAGGUGCGUCCCUCCUGAAACCGUGCUCUGUCGAAGAGGACUACCUUCCCUAAUAGAGGAGAGGACCGUUUUUCGAUCCAGGGUAUAGGAGUAGCUGCCCUCCCCUGCUGGAACCUCCGAACAAGCUCUCAGGGUCCAUUUGUAGGAGAACAGAGGGUAGUCAAGUUUUCGAGACUUCAGACACAUCCAAAUGAGGCGCUGCACAUGGCAGUCUGCCUUUCUAA